Molecule: ribosomal RNA, 384 nt
Filed under: uncultured bacterium
Lineage: Bacteria
Description: bacterial SSU rRNA
Rfam family: Bacterial small subunit ribosomal RNA
Source: RNAcentral
UAUUGGUCAAUGGAGGCAACUCUGAACCAGCCAUGCCGCGUGCAGGAUGACGGUCCUAUGGAUUGUAAACUGCUUUUGUACGGGAAGAAAUGUAAUUACGUGUAAUUAUUUGACGGUACCGUAAGAAUAAGGAUCGGCUAACUCCGUGCCAGCAGCCGCGGUAAUACGGAGGAUCCGAGCGUUAUCCGGAAUUAUUGGGUUUAAAGGGUUCGUAGGCGGUUGAGUAAGUCAGUGGUGAAAUCUUAUAGCGUAACUAUAAAAUUGCCGUUGAUACUGCUUACUUGAAUAGAUGGAAGAAUAGAAUAUGAGUGAGCGGUAAAUGCUAGAAUACAUGAAUCCAAUUGCGAGGCAGUUCACGUCUUUUGCGCUGAGCAGAUAGAUUGG